UACGGAGGGUGCAAGCGUUAAUCGGAAUUACUGGGCGUAAAGCGCACGCAGGCGGUAUGUUAAGCUAGAUGUGAAAGCCCCGGGCUCAACCUGGGAAGGUCAUUUAGGACUGGCAUACUAGAGUCUUGUAGAGGGGUGUGGAAUUCCAGGUGUAGCGGUGAAAUGCGUAGAGAUCUGGAGGAACAUCGGUGGCGAAGGCGACACCCUGGACAAAGACUGACGCUCAUGUGCGAAAGCGUGGGUAGCGAACAGG
RNAcentral lists this ribosomal RNA (253 nucleotides) under uncultured bacterium. Its description in RNAcentral is "partial 16S ribosomal RNA". It matches the Rfam family "Bacterial small subunit ribosomal RNA", at positions 524 to 776 of the family's 1533-position model. The record is from RNAcentral.